RNAcentral lists this long non-coding RNA (256 nucleotides) under Elaeis guineensis (African oil palm). RNAcentral's name for it is "long non-coding RNA (EGUI_LNC030133)". The record is from RNAcentral. Lineage: Eukaryota; Viridiplantae; Streptophyta; Magnoliopsida; Arecales; Arecaceae.
UAGAUAUUAAAUGCGUAUUGAAAAACAGUAACUAUAUGGAUCAAUUGGAUAAGAUGAUGCACUCUACGUUAAAUUUUCUACACCGCUCAUGAUGCACAAAGAAUUUGCUUUUGUAGAAGAGACCCUGACUCUCCCAUCUUGGAAUCACCGAACAAAGUAAUAAAAAGGCCUAGGGACCAAAGAUACAUUAUCCCUUGGCAAAAGAAAAAGAAAAAGUAAACAGUUAUAGCAACUUCCUUUUGGCUUCAAUCAUCAA